GACGUAGGAGGCGAGCGUUAUCCGGAUUCACUGGACGUAAAGCGCAUGUAGGCGGAUGUCUAAGUCGUGUGUUAAAGCCCCUGGCUCAACUGGGGGAGGUCAUGCGAGACUGGAUGACUUGAGGGCAACAGAGGCACGUGGAACUCCCGGUGUAGCGGUGGAAUGCGUAGAGAUCGGGAAGAACACCCGUGGCGAAGGCGGCGUGCUGGGUUGCAACUGACGCUGUGGCGCGAAAGCUAGGGGAGCAAACGGG
RNAcentral lists this ribosomal RNA (253 nucleotides) under uncultured bacterium. Its description in RNAcentral is "partial 16S ribosomal RNA". It matches the Rfam family "Bacterial small subunit ribosomal RNA", at positions 524 to 776 of the family's 1533-position model. The record is from RNAcentral.